GACGAACGCUGGCGGCAUGCCUAACACAUGCAAGUCGAACGAGAUCUUCGGGUCUAGUGGCGCACGGGUGCGUAACGCGUGGGAAUCUGCCCUUUGGUUCGGAAUAACAGUUGGAAACGACUGCUAAUACCGGAUGAUGACGAAAGUCCAAAGAUUUAUCGCCAGAGGAUGAGCCCGCGUAGGAUUAGCUAGUUGGGGUGGAAAAGGCGCACCAAGGCGACGAUCCUUAGCUGGUCUGAGAGGAUGAUCAGCCACACUGGGACUGAGCCACGGCCCAGACUCCUACGGGAGGCAGCAGUGGGGAAGAUUGGACAGUGGGCGAAAGCCUGAUCAAGCAAUGCCGCGUGAGUGAUGAAGGCCUUAGGGUUGUAAAGCUCUUUUACCCGGGAUGAUAAUGACAGUACCGGGAGAAUAAGCUCCGGCUAACUCCGUGCCAGCCGCCGCCGUAA
RNAcentral lists this ribosomal RNA (449 nucleotides) under uncultured bacterium. Its description in RNAcentral is "partial 16S ribosomal RNA". It matches the Rfam family "Bacterial small subunit ribosomal RNA", at positions 28 to 523 of the family's 1533-position model. The record is from RNAcentral.